This 253-nucleotide ribosomal RNA is filed under the name uncultured bacterium. RNAcentral's name for it is "partial 16S ribosomal RNA". It matches the Rfam family "Bacterial small subunit ribosomal RNA", at positions 524 to 776 of the family's 1533-position model. The record is from RNAcentral.
UACGGGGGGGGCGAGCGUUAUUCGGAAUUAUUGGGCGGAAAGGGCGCGUAGGCGGCCUGGCAAGUGGAAGGUGAAAUCCCUCGGCUUAACCGGGGAACUGCGUCUGAUACUGGAUGGCUUGAAUCCGGGAGAGGGAUGCGGAAUUCCAGGUGUAGCGGUGAAAUGCGUAGAUAUCUGGAGGAACACCGGUGGCGAAGGCGGCAUCCUGGACCGGCAUUGACGCUGAGGAGCGAAAGCCAGGGGAGCAAACGGG